AGCAGCCGCGGUAAUUCCAGCUCCAAUAGCGUAUAUUAAAGUUGUUGCAGUUAAAAAGCUCGUAGUUGAAUUUCGGGGUUAGUAGGCUGGUCGUGCCACUGGUACGUACUGGUCUCACUGAUUCCUCCUUCCUGAUGAACUGUAAUGCCAUUAAUUUGGUGUUGCAGGGAAACUGGACUGUUACUUUGAAAAAAUUAGAGUGUUUAAAGCAAGCUAACGCUUGAAUACAUUAGCAUGGAAUAAUGAAAUAGGACGUUCGAUCCUAUUUUGUUGGUUUCUAGGAUUGACGUAAUGAUUAAUAGGGAUAGUUGGGGGCAUUAGUAUUCAAUUGUCAGAGGUGAAAUUCUUGGAUUUAUUGAAGACUAACUACUGCGAAAGCAUUUGCCAAGGAUGUUUUCAUUAAUCAAGAACGAAAGUUAGGGGAUCGAAGACGAUCAGAUACCGUCGUAGUCUUAACCAUAAACUAUGCCGACUAGGGAUCGGAUGAUGUUAAUUUUUUAAUGACUCAUUCGGCGCCUUA
Molecule: unclassified non-coding RNA, 520 nt
Filed under: uncultured Glomus
Lineage: Eukaryota; Fungi; Glomeromycota; Glomeromycetes; Glomerales; Glomeraceae
Description: SSU rRNA
Rfam family: Eukaryotic small subunit ribosomal RNA
Source: RNAcentral